RNAcentral lists this ribosomal RNA (253 nucleotides) under uncultured bacterium. RNAcentral's name for it is "partial 16S ribosomal RNA". It matches the Rfam family "Bacterial small subunit ribosomal RNA", at positions 524 to 776 of the family's 1533-position model. The record is from RNAcentral.
UACGGGGGGGGCAAGCGUUGUUCGGAAUUACUGGGCGUAAAGGGCUCGUAGGCGGCCAACUAAGUCAGACGUGAAAUCCCUCAGCUUAACUGGGGAACUGCGUCUGAUACUGGCGAGCUUGAGUGCAGGAGAGGAACGCGGAAUUCCAGGUGUAGCGGUGAAAUGCGUAGAUAUCUGGAGGAACACCGGUGGCGAAGGCGGCGUCCUGGACUGCAACUGACACUGAGAAACGAAAGCCAGGGUAGCAAACGGG